This 803-nucleotide small RNA is filed under the name Pongo abelii (Sumatran orangutan). RNAcentral describes it as "processed transcript". Lineage: Eukaryota; Metazoa; Chordata; Mammalia; Primates; Hominidae. The record is from RNAcentral.
GCGCUGGUUCAGUGCUCCAGCCACAGGGCCCGUGUGGUGCUGAGCUGGGCCGACUACCUCAGAAGAGUGGCUCCCACAGCUCUGGCGACAGCGCUUGACGUGGGCUUGUCCAACUGGAGCUUCCUCUAUGUCACCGUCUCGCUGUACACAAUGACCAAAUCCUCAGCUGUCCUCUUCAUCUUGAUCUUCUCUCUGAUCUUCAAGCUGGAGGAGCUGACCCCCGAGUUAGCUGCCACUGCUCCCCAUCCUACCAGCGUGCGGCACUGGUCCUGGUGGUCCUCCUCAUCGCCGGUGGUCUCUUCAUGUUCACCUACAAGUCCACACAGUUCAACAUGGAGGGUUUCGCCUUGGUGCUGGGGGCCUCGUUCAUCGGUGGCAUUCGCUGGACCCUCACCCAGAUGCUCCUGCAGAAGGCUGAACUUGGCCUCCAGAAUCCCAUCGACACCAUGUUCCACCUGCAGCCACUCAUGUUCCUGGGGCUUUUCCCUCUCUUUGCUAUAUUUGAAGGUCUCCAUUUGUCCACAUCUGAGAAAAUCUUCCGUUUCCAGGACACAGGGCUGCUCCUGCGGGUACUUGGGAGCCUCUUCCUUGGCGGGAUUCUCGCCUUUGGUUUGGGCUUCUCUGAGUUCCUCCUGGUCUCCAGAACCUCCAGCCUCACUCUCUCCAUUGCUGGCAUUUUUAAGGAAGUCUGCACUUUGCUGUUGGCAGCUCAUCUGCUGGGCGAUCAGAUCAGCCUCCUGAACUGGCUGGGCUUCGCCCUCUGCCUCUCGGGAAUAUCCCUCCAUGUUGCCCUCAAAGCCCUG